CCUGCCAUCACCACCCCUUAGAGAUCCAGCCCCCAACCCUCCCCCCAACGAAGGUCAAGUUCCCCCACCCUGCUUCUGGACACUUUGGAUCCCGGCCCCCUCUCCGGAAAAUAAGCCGUCUCUAGUAAUCGCAAUGAUAUGACCCCCAAUUCCCAUAAUCGUCUAAUUCCACCCCAAAUCCUUUCCAUUCAGCUCCCCUUGCAGCCUCAAAGGGUCGAGUUCCCAAAACCCGCGAGGGAUCCAAGAUGAACCUCUUCCCAUCCUUAUCCUCGUUAUCCGAGCGGCCUGGACCUUCAACUCCCAUGAAAUCUAGGCCCCUCUUAGACCUGAACCCUCAAACUCCACUGGGGCCAGCCCCCGACAAAUCCCGCAGGGGUAAAUCCCCCCUCCCCCCAUUGAGACCUGGUCUCCCAUACACCCUCAGACAAGGUCCAGUGUCCUCGAAUCCCCGGGCACAGUCCCUGGCAGCCCCUCGCAGCCGGGGUAGAGCCCUUCCCCCCUCCCUGCCAAGUUCCCCUGGCACCAUCCCCCAUACACGCAGGCCGGGGCCUUGAGGGGUUCAGCAGUACGAGAUCAGCACCCCCAACUGCCCUCUGGAAGAAAGUUCCCUCAAACCCCUGGGCUCCCGACUUCUCCCCAGAACCGCAGCCGCCGCGCGCAGACCCCCACCUCCUGGGCCGCUCCGAUGCCCCCUUCCCGGGGAAGCGGCCCUUGACUCUCAACGGCCACUUAAGAUGGCCAUCCUCAGCCGCCGCACCCCCCCUCGCCUUCCGCCCCGCCCGCCGCUCCGCCCCCGCGGCUCUCCGCGGAGCCGGGGGUAGCACCCGCGCCCCGCCUACCCCGGCCCCCUGAUCCUGGAGCCGCUGACCCGCCGAGUGACCUCGGGCCAGUCACGGCACCUCUCCGCGCCUCGCCUUCCCGCUCUGCAAAGUGGGGGCAAUGUUAUUUGGCCGACUCAAUGGGACUGCUUGUAAAGAUCUCGGCACGGGGCCUGGCAUCCAGUAGGCGCUCCAGAACAGCGGCUAUUUUUAUUAUUAAUUAAGGAGUAACGAAGGUGACAGCUGUGUAAACUGUAAAGCGCUGCGCCUGAACGAACGGGUAUUAUUAGCACCCGCCCCCGCCCCAGCUACUCCCUCCAAGACAACAAACUUGAGCCUUUGUGGGCGGGACGCCGAACCGGGAGCUCCCCUUAUCGGAAAAAAAGGAGACAUGGAGUCUCAAUAGAGUUGAAACCAACUGGCAUCCGCUUGUAUAGAGUGAGUGAAUGUGCAGCAAUCGUGCCCCUGGGUCACAGCCGUGAGAGCCCUUGUCCUCUACUCUGACGCUUCAUGGACUGGCACGUGAUGAAGAUCCUGGGAUGCGUCCACCUCUUGGUAUUAUGAAGAAUGCUAUUACGAACAUGGAUGCACAAAUAUCUUUUGAGGCCCUUGGUUUCAAUUCUUUCAUAUAUCCAGAUAUGGACGAGCUGGAUCAUAUGAUUCUGCCAUACUUGACAGGAGAACAGACUCAUGGGUCUGACAUCACCACCAUAGCUGACCCUUGGACAGUGCAACCCAUUGGAGCUCUGAGGCUUGAGGUUUCCAGAAAAAUUUCAGUCCUAAAACAGAAGACUUCUAUGGAGGGAGAAGCUAACCCACAGACGAGAAGCAGGAAUAUUUUUAAAGGAAUUAGUGAAAUUGAGAAGGCAAGAUGGUUGUGGCUAUUGUGUUGGUAUUUUUGGUAAUGUGCUUCAUGAUCUUUUUUUUCAUUAGUCAUAUGAUGUAGCCCUUUUUCUCUCCUGGCUCUGGUUUCUAACCCUCAAUUUAAUAGACCAUACUUGUGCCAACUGGAAUAAACCCUUUCUCUAAAAAAAACCCUUGGUCAAUGGGCCACACUCCUAAAUAUCUCUACUGGUACUGUCCAUACCACACCAAGCACAGAGUCCCUCCUUGAUUGCUGCAUUUUCCCAACCAGUCUCUCAAAGUUUUGUUGUUUUUGAUUUUAAAGAGCAGGUGGGGCUUCUGGGUGGCUCAGUCGGUUAAGCGUCUGACUUCGGCUCAGGUCAUGAUCUCACAGCUCAUGAA
Felis catus (domestic cat) is the source of this 2063-nucleotide long non-coding RNA. RefSeq lists it as uncharacterized. The record is from RefSeq and is a predicted model, not a curated record. The transcript is spliced from 4 exons. Lineage: Eukaryota; Metazoa; Chordata; Mammalia; Carnivora; Felidae.